GAUAAACGCUGGCGGCAUGCCUAACACAUGCAAGUCGAACGGGGUUUAUGUAACGGAACUCUCCGGAGGGAAGAUAUAUAAACCUAGUGGCGGACGGGUGAGUAACGCGUGGGAAACCUGCCCUGUACCGGGGGAUAACAGCCAGAAAUGGCUGCUAAUACCGCAUAACCCUGCGGUGCCGCAUGGCACUGCAGGUAAAACUCCGGUGGUACAGGAUGGUCCCGCGUCUGAUUAGUUUGUUGGCGGGGUAACGGCCCACCAAGGCGACGAUCAGUAGCCGGCUUGAGAGAGCGGACGGCCACAUUGGGACUGAGACACGGCCCAG
This 325-nucleotide ribosomal RNA is filed under the name uncultured bacterium. RNAcentral describes it as "bacterial SSU rRNA". It matches the Rfam family "Bacterial small subunit ribosomal RNA", at positions 28 to 334 of the family's 1533-position model. The record is from RNAcentral.